ACGGAGGAUGCAAGCGUUAUCCGGAAUUAUUGGGCGUAAAGCGUACGUAGGCUGUUUCAUAAGUCUGUUGUCAAAGCCCGAGGCUCAACCUUGGAUCGGCAAUGGAAACUGUGAGACUAGAGAGAGAUAGGGGCAGGAGGAAUUCCAGGUGUAGCGGUGAAAUGCGUAGAUAUCUGGAAGAACACCAGUGGCGAAAGCGUCCUGCUGGAUCUCAACUGACGCUGAAGUACGAAAGCUAGGGGAGCGAAUGGG
Molecule: ribosomal RNA, 252 nt
Filed under: uncultured bacterium
Lineage: Bacteria
Description: partial 16S ribosomal RNA
Rfam family: Bacterial small subunit ribosomal RNA
Source: RNAcentral